UCAGUCGCUUUAUUGCAAGCUGUUUGUUAUUUGGAAGCUGUGGACGUUCUCUGAAAGGUAAUGGCAUUUCCAAAUGACCUUCCUCAUUGACGUUUAUUUUUCCAUUCAGGAUCUGCAAAAACUGAAUGUCCUCUUGUGAUAUAGUUCCUUCUUUAGGAUUUGUGUCCAGAAAAUCUUUCUCCAAUGCUCUAAUCACAGAGGAGGGAGUGAUGAACGGCAGUUCUUUAACAGAAAUACGAUGGCACGCUCCGGUCACCUCCACUGAACUUGUCCAAGGCUUAAUGGAUCCUGCUAUACUCCAACCUAAGUCUGUUUUAAUGGCAUAAGGAUCAUAAUCAUUGCCUGGGAUCACUUUUCUUGGUUUAAGAGCUCUUGCACAAUCGUAUCCAAUUAGAAGUGCUGCAGGACAAUCUAACAAUUCUGGCAUUUCUUUUGAGAUAUUCUGAAGAUGUGCCCACAGUUUUGUUGUUUCACGAGUCGGAAUACUGUUUUGUUCAAGGGGAAUGUAAUCUCGAGUAUAUGUGGUUGGUAAGUCAAUGUAUUCUUGUGAAAAGUAACCUCUUACUUUCAGCCCAUCCACUCUUUGACUCUGUACAACUGAUCCCCUAUCUGUCAUUGUUGUCAAUUUCAGCUUAACUGGCUCUGUAACUGCUUGGAUUUUUUCACAAAUAUCUUGGACAAUGAAGGUAUUGCUACUUUGUGUAUCUAGCAGUGCAUAAACCAAGAUCUCGUGUCCAUUAUUACUUGCGCCAGAUAACCAUACGGGAACAAUCAUUGACGUACGGUCAAUAUUGUCAAUUUUUACAUUAUUUGACACUGCAGAAACAUUUUCUUCUUCUGGUGGCCUUUCAGGUUUGUCCACUUGUUGACGAUCUUCAUGAAGUGGAGUAGGAUGAUUUUUUCGACAAAUAUUACAGGAAGCCUUUUGACGACAAUUUUUGGCAAUGUGACCAACUCUUAGGCAACUAAAGCACAUAUUAUUCUCAAUGACGAACCUUUUCCUUUCCGCAAGAGACAUUUCAGCAAAUUUUUCACACUUGUAGAUAAAGUGGCUUUGCUUACAGCAGAUGCAUUCAAAUUUUCGUUUGUUUAGUCCAGUAGAAGGGAUAACACUGGGUUCUUCGUUACGCUGAGCUGUGCUUGUAGUCUUCGUACUUUUGACCGCUUUUGUCGUAGUAGUUAGAACACUUGCCUUUAUACGCUUCUGUUCUUUGUCUGGUUUGUCGAAUGUUCGCAAUGCAAACAGGGACGAAACGGGAUUGCAUGCUAUGCGUGCUUCUUCAGCCACAAACUCAGCAAAUUCUACAAAACUUGGAUAUUCUUUUUUUUCAUCUAGUCUUUUUGUUACAUAUCUAUUCCAACGUGUUGUUGCCCAGUCUGGUAGCUUGAGAAGUAUUUUUUGAUUUUCCUCACAAUCAUCUAAUACCUUAAGGCCUUGUACAUGGGGCAUAGCAUUUUUACAUGAAAUGAGGAAAUCACUAAACUCUCGCAAUUUGAGAGACUCUUUUGACCCAAUUUUUGGCCAACUGCUCAAUUUUCCUCUGAAGGCUCUCUGGACAACAAAAGGAUGGCCAUAACGUUUAUUCAAGGCAUCCCAAGCUUGAUGGUAGGCUUCUUCAUCGCUUCGGUAAAAUGUCCCCUCUAGCACAGUAAGUGCUUCUCCACUUAGGUAUUUUUUCAAAUAGAACAGUCUGUGUGCUGGAUUAAUACAGCUAGUUUCUAUGAGAGCUUUAAAGCAGGUGUUCCAUUCGAUGAACUUCAACGGAUCUCCACUGAAUAUGAAUGGCUCUGGGGCUGGUAGUCUAGUCAUAGUAAGCGAUUCUUUUAACGCUUGAACUAGCGCUACUUCACUGUUCCUUAGCACCGUAUUGCUAUCAUGAAUUUGUGGGACCGACACAUUUUGGGAAAUCGGUGUAAUUUUUACAUCAGGUAAGGUUGCUAGCGCUGGAUCAUGAAGAACUUGUGGGCGCGGGACAAUGUUCUGUUGUAUUGAAGGCUGACUAGAAGUGACUUUUAUUUCACUAGCAUUUAUUUCAGCAUUCAUCUUUGAUUCCUCUUCAACAUAUGCAUUGUAUUCUGCCUCUAUUGCCUCAAGAUCUCUUCGGUUUUCCAACAUUUUCAACCUUUCCUGCUGAGCUAGUAUCUCCUGCCUUUGCACGGAGAUUUCCCUUUCUCUUAUUAUUUCUGCUCGUUUUGAAGCUAAACGUGCUGCUGCUUCGGCUUUUUUGGCAGACAAUUGACUUUCAUGCUCACUAGAACUUUUGUACCGACUUUCAAGUCUUGACACUGUUGAGCCGAAUAUUGACUUUGCAUCUUCUCUUUGCAAUAGCUGGGCUAGUGACUCUUUUGUAGCUUGUGCAUCAAAUUCUUUGUCAACAUCUGCAUAACGCCUUUUUAGAAGCAUUAUUAUUUCUGUGGAGACUGAGCUACAACUGUCCAUUUUUCUCCUUAUGUCUUGAGAUGGUGUGAUCAGUGUUCGUAAAGCAAAAUACUUUUGUCCUACAUCUGACUCACAUUUUGCAACCCUUUGAAUCAUAUCACUUAACUCAAACUUAGAGCAUGCCACCUUCAGUUUGGAUCUUGUUAAUUGAACCUCGGCUUUAAAUUGCAAAUAGGUUGACAUAAAAUGUCUUUCUUUACUUGUUAUGUCAUCUUUUUUCCAUUCUAACAUUUUGUCAGUUAGAUGUUUUUCUCUCUCUGAACGCCUAACUCCUGUUUCAACUUCAAAUGCAGGUAGCAUUGGAUGUUGACCAAAAUUUUGUAUUUCAAGGUCUGCAUGGAUUUCACUUAAACGUAUUUCAAUCUCUGACCUGGUUUCCAUGAGAAGCUUGUGCUUAUUGAAGACUUGUGUUGAUGAGAUGAAUUGUAAUCCGCUAUAUUUCCAUUGGUAAAGAUGCUGAAAGUUGGAAAUCCAGCUGCUGUCGAUCCAUGAAAAUGAAGAUGUCGAUGCAGGCUUCGAUCUCACGUAGCACCGUCACGCCGAAGUCGCGUUAAUCCCUCGCCGCUCGAUCGCCCUCCUUCGUCGGCUGCAAUCCCUCUCUCACCGGUAGCGACAGGCCUCCUCCGUCGGGAAGUCGCGGGAUGUAUGCUUCAUCAACGGCGCAUGAGCCACCGUCUUCUUCACCAAAGGGACCAGUUUCUCCACUAUGGCCAGCGGGACCGCUUCGCCACAACGGUCGCGUCUUCUUGGCCACAACGGUCUUCACUUGGCUGCGACGUUUUACACUGGGCCACGUUCCUCACUUGGCCAACACGUAUUUUUCACUUGGCCACGAUGGACAAGUCUUUUAUUUGGCCCUAACAGGACACGUUUUUCACUGUAACGGCUCUCAAACUAUUUGAGUGGAACAGAAAAUGGCCACGAAUCGACUGAUGUAUUUCGCCAGACUUUAUUUCCUCCUUUUGCUGUGCGAGCAACACCGUGAAAAACUAAAAGAGCAUACAAAAAAUAUCAAUAAACAUACAUAAAAUAAAAUACAACAUCCAUUACAAUAAAAUACAAUCAUACCGUGUGCGCCUUCUGUCCAAACAUAAGAGAGCUGUUAAAUUUCUUCGUGAGUCUGUAUUCUCUCGUUAGCGUCCUCCAUCUUUUCUUUUCUUUCUGUCCGUGAGUUCGCGCUCUUUCUCUCUUCUCGCGGUACACGCAAAACAACGCGUGAACUUUAUGUAUUCACAUUAACAUAUUUCACCAUAAGAUGGCAGUAUUGCGACACAGGUAGAAAACAAAAACAAUGUGGAUGCAAAACACUCAAUAAAUUCCAACUCCUUGUAUUGCGACAGCUACACAUCUUUUUAUUUGAACUUUUUGAUGGAAGAACAUAAUCCAACAAUUCACAGCCAGAACAAAAGUUUGUUGUAAAACUUGUUCCCUUUUUCAUGGUCCAUUUGGUAUGUGAGAUAAAAAAUGAAUAAAAUAAUAAUUGUAAUUAGAUAGUUUUUGCAAAAAUUCAUGAAAAAACAGAAUUGUGCUUGGAAAAAAAAAUACAAAAAAAAAAACGUACAUAUAUUGAAAAACAGAAACGGAAAAAACAAAACAUCAACAUUAUUAUUAUUUUUUUUACCUGUCCGGCUGUUUGACAUCGAGAAUGGAAGUCUAAGGCUACGUUCAUACUACAGGUCUUAAUGCACGAAUCCAAUUUUUUCGUGUUUUUCCGACUCGAGUGAGGCAUUAAUUUGACGGUCUGAACGUGACAAGUCGCAUAGAACGGGACCAUUUCAAAUCCGAUCUGGGUCACUUUCGUAUGUGGUCUAAAUCCGAUCUGGGCCACAUUUUUCCAGACUGUCGCGGCGGUCUGUACUGUCCAGUCCCGCAAAUCGGAUUUCAUGCAGCAAUUACGUCAUCAAAUAGCGAGAGAGUCGUUACCGUAGCGAUGCACCUGUGCGUUAUUAGCGCCUAGCUUGCAGUGAACACGGCUUUCGGGGAAGGGCUGGGCUUCACAACAGUCAUAAAAAAUAAAAAUGGGUUGAGGAUAAGCCUGAGAAUGCUCAGUUUUCUCUGUUACAAGUGAGCAAUAUUUCAACAUUGCUUACACGGCCGAGAGAGAGUCGGGGCAAACUGCCCAUAUGUGUGUGACGUGCACGGACAGUGCGUGCAUGCUAUCGAUCCAUAUAAACUUUGAAUAUAAACCUAAACGGGGAUUAUUUAUGUCUGUUAUUUGUGUCCUCCUUUUGAAAAGCAAAACAUGAUAUCCCUGGAAUGACGGAUGACGUGUGUCAUUUGUUUUGAUGCUUCUGCGCAUGCGGGUCUUCUUGUUUAGCGCGGGUCGGACUGCGAAUUCGUGCGCAUGCGUAAUACUUGAACGGUCUCAAUGGAUAAAAGCAGUUUGAACGGGCACGCCAAAAAAACGGAUAUGACAAAAAAUCGGGUUCGUGCAUUAAGACCUGUAGUAUGAACGUAGCCUAAGUGUCCAGUAGGGAAUGGGACGUACUACGUCAUUGUUUGGACCCGCCUCCAUGCUGGCAAUAUAAUUCACUUCCGGGCCGGCAGAGUCAAUGCGGAUUGUAACGUGUGAUAGUGCUAAGCUAACUCUUUCGGUGUUUUAGAAAGAAAAUAUGGGUGCUUUAUUGUUGCAUUACCGGGUGCAACAGCGUCUCCUACGACAAAAAAAGGGGUGAGGAAAAAUGGACUCACUUUUCACCGUUUUCCUGCAUGGAGGACCAAAUAUCAGAUCACGAAGGUACGACGGAUGGCUGGAUUGCAGCGGUUCGUCGGAAAAGCAUUUCUUAUGAUCAUAUUUCUGCUGGAAUGAGAGUGUGUUCCUGUCAUCUCUACUCUUGUAAACCUGCUGACAACACAUCCCGAUUGGUCACCAUCUCUCUUCUUGGAUCAUUUGACAAAGAAAAUUUGUUCAAUGGAGUGGUUCCAUUUGUCCUGUGUCGGACUCAAACAAGCCCCUGCAGCAGACGCCAUCUGGGUCUGCCCUUCUCGUCGAUGAACUGCGGGCUUUUAACUUGUGAAAAUGCAAGAACUUUAAUGCACAUAUUUAUUCUGCCUGGCUAUUUAACUAUGGCCAGUGACGUUUUUUUUUUUUUUUUUUUUUUUUUAACCACUUUGACAAA
Corythoichthys intestinalis (scribbled pipefish) is the source of this 5559-nucleotide long non-coding RNA. RefSeq lists it as uncharacterized. The transcript is spliced from 2 exons. The record is from RefSeq and is a predicted model, not a curated record. NCBI's taxonomy places the organism in Eukaryota, Metazoa, Chordata, Actinopteri, Syngnathiformes, Syngnathidae.